RNAcentral lists this ribosomal RNA (253 nucleotides) under uncultured bacterium. RNAcentral describes it as "partial 16S ribosomal RNA". It matches the Rfam family "Bacterial small subunit ribosomal RNA", at positions 524 to 776 of the family's 1533-position model. The record is from RNAcentral.
UACGAAGGGGGCUAGCGUUGCUCGGAAUCACUGGGCGUAAAGCGCACGUAGGCCGAUUGGUAAGUCAGGGGUGAAAUCCUGGAGCUCAACUCCAGAACUGCCCUUGAUACUGACGGUCUCGAGUCCGGGAGAGGUGAGUGGAACUGCGAGUGUAGAGGUGAAAUUCGUAGAUAUUCGCAAGAACACCAGUGGCGAAGGCGGCUCACUGGCCCGGUACUGACGCUGAGGUGCGAAAGCGUGGGGAGCAAACAGG